AGACAAGUGUCUAUUUCUUUCUCCUAACUCUGUUUUUUUAUUUCCUCUACUGGUAGUACGUGUACGGGGCGAGAGUGUCUUGUAUUUUUUUUGUUUUGAAUUGUUUUGCUACGUCACAAAGUCCGGUGACAUCUAUGGGUCAUUCUUUGUCAUGAGGCAGUUCACCCUCUGAGUUUGGUUGUAACGGACGGUGUGUUGGCCCGUAAAACGUUAUUUGUCUGUACCAUUUUCUCGGACUUAUUAUUCAGUUGGAUUUUUGGGACCCCUGUUUAGGGGUGCCAGUGUUGGAGUUGUGGGCGUCGCUUGCCGUCUCAGAAAUACAUAUUGCAGUUUUUUUUAUUGUCAUUGUCAAACUUUACUAUUACCGAGGUUGGCAGUGUUGUGACGCCAGUCGGUCAGAGUCUGGUGGACCAUAAAGCCAGGGUGACAAGUUAAUAGCCGUAGCAAAGGGUGCCAGUGUUGGAGUUGUGGGCGUCGCUUGCCGUCUCAGAAAUACAUAUUGCAGUUUUUUUUAUUGUCAUUGUCAAACUUUACUAUUACCGAGGUUGGCAGUGUUGUGACGCCAGUCGGUCAGAGUCUGGUGGACCAUAAAGCCCGGGUGACAAGUUAAUAGCCGUAGCAAAGGUGCAUAAAUUAAUUAUUGUAUAAUAUCUUUAUAUAUAUCUAUUAUAUAUAUAUAUAUAUAUAUAUAUAUAUAUAUAUAUAUAUAUCUAAUAUAUAUACUGUCUAUUUGUCAUCCUCAUUGUACAUACACAUAUAUGUUUCAUACAAUUAAAUUCAUUUAUUUUUGUUGUUAUUUAAACUAUUCACCUAGUUGUUUACUGUAUGUACGACUGUGUGUGAGUGAUGUUCUUGUCAGGUUGAACCCCGGGACCUUAACAGUAUA
Biomphalaria glabrata is the source of this 886-nucleotide long non-coding RNA. RefSeq lists it as uncharacterized. NCBI's taxonomy places the organism in Eukaryota, Metazoa, Mollusca, Gastropoda, Planorbidae. The transcript is spliced from 3 exons. The record is from RefSeq and is a predicted model, not a curated record.